This 848-nucleotide ribosomal RNA is filed under the name uncultured Zetaproteobacteria bacterium. RNAcentral's name for it is "bacterial SSU rRNA". It matches the Rfam family "Bacterial small subunit ribosomal RNA", at positions 41 to 883 of the family's 1533-position model. Lineage: Bacteria; Pseudomonadati; Pseudomonadota; Candidatius Mariprofundia. The record is from RNAcentral.
GGCAUGCCUAACACAUGCAAGUCGAACGGUAACAGGUCUUCGGAUGCUGACGAGUGGCGCACGGGUGAGUAACGCGUGGAUAUCUGCCUAUGAGUGGGGGACAACUUUCGGAAACGAAAGCUAAUACCGCAUAAUCUCUACGGAGCAAAGCAGGGGACCUUUCGGGGCCUUGUGCUUAUAGAUGAGUCCGCGUCAGAUUAGCUAGUUGGUGGGGUAAGAGCCUACCAAGGCGAUGAUCUGUAGCUGGUUUGAGAGGAUGAUCAGUCACACUGGAACUGAGACACGGUCCAGACUCCUACGGGAGGCAGCAGUGGGGAAUUUUGCACAAUGGGCGCAAGCCUGAUGCAGCGAUGCCGCGUGUGGGAAGAAGGCCUUUGGGUUGUAAACCACUUUCAAUUGGGAAGAAGGGAUGAGUAUUAAUAAUACUCUGACUUGACGGUACCUUUAGAAGAAGCACCGGCUAAUUUCGUGCCAGCAGCCGCGGUAAUACGAAAGGUGCAAGCGUUGUUCGGAUUUACUGGGCGUAAAGAGAUCGUAGGUGGUUUGUUAAGUUAGAUGUGAAAUCCCGGGGCUCAACCUCGGAACUGCAUCUAAAACUGGCAGACUUGAGUUCGGGAGGGGUAAGCGGAAUUCCGUGUGUAGCAGUGAAAUGCGUAGAUAUACGGAGGAACACCUGAGGCGAAGGCGGCUUACUGGACCGAUACUGACACUGAGGAUCGAAAGCGUGGGUAGCAAACAGGAUUAGAUACCCUGGUAGUCCACGCCCUAAACGAUGUCAACUAGCCGUUGCGGGUAUCGACCCCUGCAGUGGCGCAGCUAACGCGAUAAGUUGACCGCCUGGGGAGUAC